Long non-coding RNA from Osmerus eperlanus (European smelt), 1075 nucleotides. RefSeq lists it as uncharacterized. The transcript has 4 exons. The record is from RefSeq and is a predicted model, not a curated record. Lineage: Eukaryota; Metazoa; Chordata; Actinopteri; Osmeriformes; Osmeridae.
AGGUCAUGAAUACUGCCAACCGCAAAACAUGACUUUCAUGUUUUGCAAGCCUCUCAACAAAAGAGAGGAUUAAGUCCAAGGAGGAGAGUUUGCAUGUUGGGGACUGGGGGGAGAAUGUAAAGAAGCACCGCAACGCAGGCAGAGUGAUACAUUCAGCCCGCAUAUCUGUCAAUAAGCUGCAUGAACUGGACUUAAAGCCCCUGCUCUUCAUGGGGAAAGAGAAGAGAGGGGGGGGGGGGUUUACAGCAGAGGUCAUUGCAGGCAUAGGCUUCAUACCAGAGGGGCCUGUGAGGGAGAUCAUUAAAAAAAUGACCACCCUUUAUGAAUACUAUCUUAAAUACCACAAUAGCCUUCUUGCCACAGCUGGUGAAGAAACACCAGAAGAAACACCAGAAGCAACAUCCCCUGCCUCCACUCAGGAUCAAACCUUCACCCUUAACCUUGUGCCGGUCCCCCACACACCUCCUAUGACUCCCUCUCUCUCUUCAUCUACUCUUCCUACUCCCUCUCUCUCUUCAUCUACUCUUCCUACUCCCUCUCUCUCUUCAUCUACUCUUCCUAUUCCCUCUCUCUCUUCAUCUACUCUUCCUACUCCCUCUCUCUCUUCAUCUACUCUUCCUAUUCCCUCUCUCUCUUCACCUCCUCUUCCCUCGAACUCUCUCUCUUCACCUCCUCUUCCCCCCAACUCUCUCUCCUCACCUCCUAUGACUCCCUCUCUCUCUUCACCUCCUCUUCUCUCAAACUCUCUCUCUUCAUCUACUCUUCCUACUCCCUCUCUCUCUUCACAUCCUAUGAUCUCUCUCUCUCUUCACCUCCUCUUCCCUCCCACUCUUUCUCUUCUCCUGCUCUUCCCUCCCAUUCUUUCUCCGCACCUCCUUUCCCCAGUCCCUCGCUCUCUUUACCUCCUUCACCAACCCUCUCUCUAUGUUACCCACUUUCUACUCCUUCCCUCAUCUCUUCUCCUCAAAAAGGUCUUCCCAAAAUUCAGUACCCGGGAAAAAGAAAAAUAAUUUAACGUAAAGGUUGUCUUAUGCUGCAAUUUCCUGUUUAAAAAGAGGGACGUUCAAAGCAGGUA